This 1493-nucleotide long non-coding RNA is filed under the name Nicotiana tabacum (common tobacco). RNAcentral's name for it is "long non-coding RNA (NTAB_LNC018167)". The record is from RNAcentral. Lineage: Eukaryota; Viridiplantae; Streptophyta; Magnoliopsida; Solanales; Solanaceae.
AAAAACUAGUCUUUCCAAGACUUUUAAGAAACAGAAACGUUUCCUUGAUCCAAAAUGAAUUCAAAGGAUUCUUUCAAAUCCUAAAGGGAAAUCAGAAAUUCGUUCCUUUUUAAAGUUUUCAACCAAAAGAAAUGUGGUCUUUAAUUGGAACAAGUUCUUUCCAAAUUGCAAGAACAAAAUCGUUCCCUCUCAAAAAUUUCAAAGGAACACUGAUUUCGUUCAAACAUUUUAAGAACCAGAAACAAAUUUCGUUCGUGAAUCUUUAAGGAUUAGAGGUAGAUUUCGUUCAAUCAAUGAAGGUUUUCUAACGAAAUAUUAUACGAAGUUUUCCCUGCUCCAGGUAUGUUAAGACUAUCUCUUCUUUCUUUUGGCAUGAUCCAUACGAUAUGAACGAAACGUGCAAAUGCACAAAUUCCAAAAGUGACUCUACUCAUAGGAGUAAUAGAAAUAUCUAUGUUCUUUAAUUUCCAGGUGUCAUAAUAUUUUAUCAUCUGUUCAUGGGUCUCAGAAAAAUACGAAAGUUGAAAGGAGGUUACAUUAUGAUAUUGCUCAAGGGGCAAAAUGGUCUUAUGACAUUCUGAAUGAUUUUAUUAACGUACAUUUAAUGAAUUGCAUCCACGUGCAUUAACCCAUGACCAGAUGGCAUUAUAUAUGCGUAUAUAUGUAAAUAUAUUUAUAUGGGAUAUGGGAAAAGGUUAUGGCGUUAUAUACGCACCACCACCUAAUCAGCUGGUAUAUGAUGAUGAUGUUGCCCACAGUGGCUGAAAUAUGAUUCAAACGGCGUUAUAUACGCAUAUAUGGGUAUGUAUUCAAAUGGCGUUAUAUACGCAUAUAUAUGUAUGUAUUCAAACGGCGUUAUAUACGCGUAUAUAUGUAUGUAUAUAUAUGUAUAUGGGAUAUGAGAAAGGUUAUGGCGUUAUAUACGCACCACCACCUGAUCAACUGGUAUACGAUGAUGAUUUUGCCCACAGUGGCUGAUAUGAUAUGAUGGGAUGCCCUCAGAGGCUGAUGAUGUUAUGAAACAUGUACUUAUGCGCGGCAUGAUAUUCAUACGCAUAUGCGUGACGCUAAAAGUAAUUUAUGAUUUACAAAGUUAUUCACACUUACAGGAUGAGUCGUGUACUCUAUAUUUCUUCCAUGUCUCUUAUGUACUUAUUUAUAUGCCUUACAUACUCGGUACAUUAUUUGUACUGACGCCCCUUUUGCCUGGGGACGCUGCGUUUCAUGCCUGUAGGUCCCGAUAGACAGGUCGAGAGCCCUCCAAGUAGGCUAUCAGCUCAACGGAAGAUGUUGGUGCGCUCCAUUUGCUUCGGAGUUGCUUGUUUGGUUAGUAUGAUUUAGACGUGUAUUGUUUGGUAUGGCGGGACUCUAUCCCGACCAUUAUGAUAUUUAUGUAUUCUUAGAGGCUUGUCGACAUAUGUCGUGUAUGUGAAAGAUUGUACGGCCUUGUCGGCCUAUGUUUUGAGUUUAUAAAAGAUCAUGUUGCCCUAUUA